UAGGGAAUCUUCCGCAAUGGACGCAAGUCUGACGGAGCAACGCCGCGUGAGUGAAGAAGGAUUUCGGUUCGUAAAACUCUGUUGUUAGAGAAGAACAGCGCAUAGAGUAACUGUUAUGCGUGUGACGGUAUCUAACCAGAAAGCCACGGCUAACUACGUGCCAGCAGCCGCGGUAAUACGUAGGUGGCAAGCGUUGUCCGGAUUUAUUGGGCGUAAAGCGAGCGCAGGCGGUCAAUUAAGUCUGAUGUGAAAGCCCCCGGCUCAACCAGGGAGGGUCAUUGGAAACUGGUUGACUUGAGUGCAGAAGAGGAGAGUGGAAUUCCAUGUGUAGCGGUGAAAUGCGUAGAUAUAUGGAGGAACACCAGUGGCGAAGGCGACUCUCUGGUCUGUAACUGACGCUGAGGUUCGAAAGCGUGGGUAGCAAACAGG
This 429-nucleotide ribosomal RNA is filed under the name Bacteroidota bacterium. Its description in RNAcentral is "Bacteroidetes bacterium partial 16S ribosomal RNA". It matches the Rfam family "Bacterial small subunit ribosomal RNA", at positions 355 to 776 of the family's 1533-position model. The record is from RNAcentral. Lineage: Bacteria; Pseudomonadati; Bacteroidota.